CUGAUGCGUUGUUGGGUAGGGGAGCGUUCUGUAAGCCUGCGAAGGUGGCCUGUGAGGGUUGCUGGAGGUAUCAGAAGUGCGAAUGCUGACAUAAGUAACGAUAAAGCGGGUGAAAAGCCCGCUCGCCGGAAGACCAAGGGUUCCUGUCCAACGUUAAUCGGGGCAGGGUGAGUCGACCCCUAAGGCGAGGCCGAAAGGCGUAGUCGAUGGGAAACGGGUUAAUAUUCCCGUACUUGGUGUUACUGCGAAGGGGGGACGGAGAAGGCUAUGUUGGCCGGGCGACGGUUGUCCCGGUUUAAGCGUGUAGGUGUGUGUUCCAGGUAAAUCCGGUUCACUUUAACACUGAGGCGUGAUGACGAGGCACUACGGUGCUGAAGCAACAAAUGCCCUGCUUCCAGGAAAAGCCUCUAAGCAUCAGGUAACAUCAAAUCGUACCCCAAACCGACACAGGUGGUCAGGUAGAGAAUACCAAGGCGCUUGAGAGAACUCGGGUGAAGGAACUAGGCAAAAUGGUGCCGUAACUUCGGGAGAAGGCACGCUGACACGUAGGUGAAGUGAUUUACUCAUGGAGCUGAAGUCAGUCGAAGAUACCAGCUGGCUGCAACUGUUUAUUAAAAACACAGCACUGUGCAAACACGAAAGUGGACGUAUACGGUGUGACGCCUGCCCGGUGCCGGAAGGUUAAUUGAUGGGGUCAGCGCAAGCGAAGCUCCUGAUCGAAGCCCCGGUAAACGGCGGCCGUAACUAUAACGGUCCUAAGGUAGCGAAAUUCCUUGUCGGGUAAGUUCCGACCUGCACGAAUGGCGUAAUGAUGGCCAGGCUGUCUCCACCCGAGACUCAGUGAAAUUGAACUCGCUGUGAAGAUGCAGUGUACCCGCGGCAAGACGGAAAGACCCCGUGAACCUUUACUAUAGCUUGACACUGAACAUUGAGCCUUGAUGUGUAGGAUAGGUGGGAGGCUUUGAAGUGUGGACGCCAGUCUGCAUGGAGCCGGCCUUGAAAUACCACCCUUUAAUGUUUGAUGUUCUAACGUGGACCCGUGAUCCGGGUUGCGGACAGUGUCUGGUGGGUAGUUUGACUGGGGCGGUCUCCUCCUAAAGAGUAACGGAGGAGCACGAAGGUUGGCUAAUCCUGGUCGGACAUCAGGAGGUUAGUGCAAUGGCAUAAGCCAGCUUGACUGCGAGCGUGACGGCGCGAGCAGGUGCGAAAGCAGGUCAUAGUGAUCCGGUGGUUCUGAAUGGAAGGGCCAUCGCUCAACGGAUAAAAGGUACUCCGGGGAUAACAGGCUGAUACCGCCCAAGAGUUCAUAUCGACGGCGGUGUUUGGCACCUCGAUGUCGGCUCAUCACAUCCUGGGGCUGAAGUAGGUCCCAAGGGUAUGGCUGUUCGCCAUUUAAAGUGGUACGCGAGCUGGGUUUAGAACGUCGUGAGACAGUUCGGUCCCUAUCUGCCGUGGGCGCUGGAGAACUGAGGGGGGCUGCUCCUAGUACGAGAGGACCGGAGUGGACGCAUCACUGGUGUUCGGGUUGUCAUGCCAAUGGCACUGCCCGGUAGCUAAAUGCGGAAGAGAUAAGUGCUGAAAGCAUCUAAGCACGAAACUUGCCCCGAGAUGAGUUCUCCCUGAGACUUAGAGUCUCCUGAAGGAACGUUGAAGACGACGACGUUGAUAGGCCGGGUGUGUAAGCGCAGCGAUGCGUUGAGCUAACCGGUACUAAUGAACCGUGAGGCUUAACCUUACAACGCCGAAG
Molecule: ribosomal RNA, 1747 nt
Filed under: Salmonella enterica subsp. enterica serovar Give
Lineage: Bacteria; Pseudomonadati; Pseudomonadota; Gammaproteobacteria; Enterobacterales; Enterobacteriaceae
Also listed under: 1 other name
Description: partial 23S ribosomal RNA
Rfam family: Bacterial large subunit ribosomal RNA
Source: RNAcentral